RNAcentral lists this ribosomal RNA (301 nucleotides) under uncultured bacterium. RNAcentral's name for it is "partial 16S ribosomal RNA". It matches the Rfam family "Bacterial small subunit ribosomal RNA", at positions 509 to 807 of the family's 1533-position model. The record is from RNAcentral.
CAGUCGCCGCGGGAACACGAAGGGUGCAAGCGUUAAUCGGAAUUACUGGGCGUAAAGCGUGCGUAGGCGGUGAGUUAAGUCUGCUGUGAAAUCCCCGGGCUCAACCUGGGAAUGGCAGUGGAUACUGGCUCGCUAGAGUGUGUCAGAGGAUGGUGGAAUUCCCGGUGUAGCGGUGAAAUGCGUAGAGAUCGGGAGGAACAUCAGUGGCGAAGGCGGCCAUCUGGGACAACACUGACGCUGAGGCACGAAAGCGUGGGGAGCAAACAGGAUUAGAUACCCCAGUAGUCCCUGUCUCUUAUAC